RNAcentral lists this ribosomal RNA (369 nucleotides) under uncultured bacterium. Its description in RNAcentral is "bacterial SSU rRNA". It matches the Rfam family "Bacterial small subunit ribosomal RNA", at positions 30 to 407 of the family's 1533-position model. The record is from RNAcentral.
AUUGAACGCUGGCGGCAUGCUUUACACAUGCAAGUCGAACGGUAACAGGUUAAGCUGACGAGUGGCGAACGGGUGAGUAAUGCAUCGGAACGUGCCCAGUCGUGGGGGAUAACGCAGCGAAAGCUGUGCUAAUACCGCAUACGAUCUAUGGAUGAAAGCGGGGGACCGUAAGGCCUCGCGCGAUUGGAGCGGCCGAUGUCAGAUUAGCUAGUUGGUGGGUAAAGGCCCACCAAGGCGACGAUCUGUAGCUGGUCUGAGAGGACGACCAGCCACACUGGAACUGAGACACGGUCCAGACUCCUACGGGAGGCAGCAGUGGGGAAUUUUGGACAAUGGGCGCAAGCCUGAUCCAGCAAUGCCGCGUGCAGG